CUUAGAGCCUAAAACUGUUUUCUGUGUAGCUUUUGUUCUUUAUUGGGAGACAUUUAUCCUGGGAGAAGUUUUCUUUUCUCCUAAAAUCUCCCAUCCGCAAUCUGUUUUCUGGUGCAUUUACAUUACUUCAUGCCCUUCCAACAUAAAUUACUGUUCCAAUAAAUAAUUAAAUAAAUAAAUAACCCAUCUUUGAAUUUCUCUAACUCAGAUUUGCUAUAUCUCCAAAAUGAGGAAAACUUUUUUUUUUUUUAAAUAAAUAUUUUACUUUAAUCUAUGAUAGCUGAACAGACGUUUGCUAAAUGAAGCCAACAGACAUGAGAGGAUUCGUUAAGUAUUUGAGUUUUCUGACACUGCAGAUUGGAAGGGAGCAGCUAGGGACUUUGCCAAAGACAGGACUUUCAAUUUUUUUUCACCUCAUAGGAGUGAUGUAUGGAAUUGAGGCACUAUACCAACAGUAUAUGCAACAACUGAUGUAUUGCAGUACUAAAGCUGUGCCCUUUCCCACCAUGCAUGGCACCCUCCGAAGUGAAGAACACAGGUCAUCGCUUAAAAAUGUCUUAACUAUUUCAUAUGGAUCCCUGCUGGAAAUAAUGCACUAUGACUGUCCCGAAUCUGAGUUUCAACAUACAGAUGGCUUUGAACUGAAUACUAGAAAGUAUCACAGAAGGAACAAAACUCAUCAUUAGGGAAGAGAUAUUGAAGCCAAAUUGCUCUGCAUGGGAGAGAAAAGAAUUUUCCCUCAUUCUAAAGACUGUAAAGAAAACCAGUACUUUCAUUGACUGCAUCCCUUGCACUCCUCACAUUUCAUGCCUCCUCUCAGUCUUACCCAGCUGCUAUAGUUCCCCAUGAUCUCUGCUCUAUGGGAAGGAUGUGAUGGAGUGGGAAGUGUGGUUGAGUGGGGCUGACAAGGAACCUGGUAGAUGAGAGAGUGGGAAACUCAAGAGAACAUGGCUUGGAGAAGGAAAUACUAAGGAAUGUUGGACCAAGAGAAAAUCCCCUCCUGGGAAAAGCCUUUAUGAUAAGUAUUAA
This 1029-nucleotide long non-coding RNA is filed under the name Gallus gallus (chicken). Its description in RNAcentral is "lncRNA (ENSGALG00010011078.1)". Lineage: Eukaryota; Metazoa; Chordata; Aves; Galliformes; Phasianidae. The record is from RNAcentral.